UAAACGUUUGCCCGGUUGGCGAGUUUCCUGCGCGGCCGCGGCGUCUCGGCGUGCGUGGCGCUGCCGUCCGCCGCGGCACGGCGCUGCUGCGGCGCUUCUGCAAACCGAAACGGAAGCGAAGGGGUGCAAUUACAGCGUUCGUUCGUUACUUUUCCUGACUGUGGCCAGAGCGACUAUGUAUCUCGCCGGUCGAUUAACUGCGAGCUUCGCCAUUCCGGCGAACGAACGAAUACGUACGCGGCCUUCUAUUUAUGUACCGGGUGGUCCUCUGGUUACGGCAGGUCCGGCGUGCCGACAUUUUUCAGAAUCGGAAUAAUCGAGAACCGAGUCGAAUCGUAGCGGCGUUAGUCACGUGUUCGGACACAGCCCGAUUCAGGACAUUGAAUGUGAUCGCGCAACGAUCCGCGACUGAAUAUCACAUCCGGAUGAAAAAUGAAACGAAAAUAUGAAUCCACGUUGCAGAUCGCAGACUCUGGAUAAAUGGAGGAAAAUAAAUAAAGUGCACGAUUUUAAGUGACAGUCACUGCAGAGAGAAAUAAAUGGAGAGAAAUAAACGGAGGGAAAUAAAUACAGAAAAAUAAAUAUAGAGGAAUAAAUAUAGAGAAAUAGAGAGAAAUAGAUAACGCGGACGCUUCCGCCAUAAAUGGUAGAAGAUCAGAAGCCAUUCCUCGCGGUGGAUCGAGCCGGAUCCGUUCGGGGAUACACGGACAGUUAAUUAACGCGCUCAGCUUCCAGCGGCGAGGGGCGUAUCGCAAUUUGUAACAACGGCAGUAAUUUAACGAUAAACAGUUCUUUUUUGCGGUGAAACGGUGAACAGUUGUCGUUAAACGAUUCGGCUUGAAAUAUCUAUCGGCAUCUGCGCACCGCGCAGUAUCUGGUCCAAAAAGCUGCCCAUGUAUGUAAUACGGUUUUACAAUAAUCGUCCGUAGGAUGAACAACUUUCGUUGUCCGGGCUAUUGGAAUAUAUGAACAACAGUGUAGCAGUA
This is a long non-coding RNA of Megalopta genalis, 986 nucleotides long. RefSeq lists it as uncharacterized. The record is from RefSeq and is a predicted model, not a curated record. Lineage: Eukaryota; Metazoa; Arthropoda; Insecta; Hymenoptera; Halictidae.